CCUACGGGAGGCAGCAGUGAGGAAUAUUGGUCAAUGGGCGGAAGCCUGAACCAGCCAAGUAGCGUGCGGGAUGAAGGCCCUACGGGUCGUAAACCGCUUUUGCACGGGGAUAACACCCUCCACUUGUGGAGGUCUGCAGGUACCGUGCGAAUAAGGGCCGGCUAAUUCCGUGCCAGCAGCCGCGGUAAUACGGAAGGACCGAGCGUUAGCCGGAUUCAUUGGGCUUAAAGGGAGCGUAGGCGGGCGUGCAAGUCAGCUGUAAAAUCGCGCGGCUCAACCGCGCCCCGCAGUUGAAACUGGACGCAUUGAGUUCACAACAGGCAGGCGGAAUUCGUGGUGUAGCGGUGAAAUGCAGAGAUAUCACGAGGAACCCCGAUUGCGAAGGCAGCCUGCCGGGGUGCGACUGACGCUGAGGCUCGAAGGUGCGGGUAUCAAACAGGAUUAGAUACCCGGGUAGUC
RNAcentral lists this ribosomal RNA (459 nucleotides) under uncultured bacterium. RNAcentral's name for it is "partial 16S ribosomal RNA". It matches the Rfam family "Bacterial small subunit ribosomal RNA", at positions 338 to 795 of the family's 1533-position model. The record is from RNAcentral.